UUCCGUAUGUGAACCUGCGGAGGGAUCAUUAAAGAGUUCUAUAACUCCUAAACCCAUGUGAACAUACCUUACGUUGCCUCGGCGGGUCGUGCCUACCCUGUGGUCGCCUUACCCUGUAAGGCAUACCCGGUGGUCACGGGUAAGCCUGCCGACGGCCUAUGAAGAAAAGACUCUGUUUAGCAUUGAAUCUCUGAAAAACACAACUAAUUACGUUAAAACUUUCAACAACGGAUCUCUUGGUUCUGGCAUCGAUGAAGAACGCAGCGAAAUGCGAUAAGUAAUGUGAAUUGCAGAAUUCAGUGAAUCAUCGAAUCUUUGAACGCACAUUGCGCCCAUUAGUAUUCUAGUGGGCAUGCCUGUUCGAGCGUCAUUUCAACCCUUAAGCCCUCGUUGCUUAGUGUUGGGAGUCUACAGCUUGUUGUAACUCCCUAAAUCUAGUGGCGGAGUUGGUUCACACUCUAGACGUAGUAGAUUUAUUCAUUCUCGCCUUAAUUAAAGUUUGAGAACCUGGGCCC
This 515-nucleotide ribosomal RNA is filed under the name Xylaria sp. R006. Its description in RNAcentral is "partial 18S ribosomal RNA". The stretch from base 217 to 370 matches the Rfam family "5.8S ribosomal RNA". The record is from RNAcentral. Lineage: Eukaryota; Fungi; Ascomycota; Sordariomycetes; Xylariales; Xylariaceae.